This 253-nucleotide ribosomal RNA is filed under the name uncultured bacterium. RNAcentral's name for it is "partial 16S ribosomal RNA". It matches the Rfam family "Bacterial small subunit ribosomal RNA", at positions 524 to 776 of the family's 1533-position model. The record is from RNAcentral.
UACGGGGGGGGCAAGCGUUGUUCGGACUUACUGGGCGUAAAGGGCUCGUAGGUGGCCAAUUAAGUCAGGCGUGAAAUCCCCAGGCUCAACUUGGGAACUGCGUCUGAUACUGGUUGGCUUGAAUUCGGGAGAGGGAUGCAGAAUUCCAGGUGUAGCGGUGAAAUGCGUAGAUAUCUGGAGGAAUACCGGUGGCGAAGGCGGCAUCCUGGACCGAGAUUGACACUGAGGAGCGAAAGCCAGGGGAGCAAACGGG